This 578-nucleotide ribosomal RNA is filed under the name Saccharomyces cerevisiae (brewer's yeast). RNAcentral describes it as "eukaryotic LSU rRNA". It matches the Rfam family "Eukaryotic large subunit ribosomal RNA", at positions 69 to 657 of the family's 3401-position model. The record is from RNAcentral. Lineage: Eukaryota; Fungi; Ascomycota; Saccharomycetes; Saccharomycetales; Saccharomycetaceae.
CGCUGUAUGUCCGGUACCAUACGGCGAGUGAAGCGGCAAAAGACUCAAAUUUGAAAUCUGGUACCUUCGGUGCCCGAGUUGUAAUUUGGAGAGGGCAACUUUGGGGCCGUUCCUUGUCUAUGUUCCUUGGAACAGGACGUCAUAGAGGGUGAGAAUCCCGUGUGGCGAGGAGUGCGGUUCUUUGUAAAGUGCCUUCGAAGAGUCGAGUUGUUUGGGAAUGCAGCUCUAAGUGGGUGGUAAAUUCCAUCUAAAGCUAAAUAUUGGCGAGAGACCGAUAGCGAACAAGUACAGUGAUGGAAAGAUGAAAAGAACUUUGAAAAGAGAGUGAAAAAGUACGUGAAAUUGUUGAAAGGGAAGGGCAUUUGAUCAGACAUGGUGUUUUGUGCCCUCUGCUCCUUGUGGGUAGGGGAAUCUCGCAUUUCACUGGGCCAGCAUCAGUUUUGGUGGCAGGAUAAAUCCAUAGGAAUGUAGCUUGCCUCGGUAAGUAUUAUAGCCUGUGGGAAUACUGCCAGCUGGGACUGAGGACUGCGACGUAAGUCAAGGAUGCUGGCAUAAUGGUUAUAUGCCGCCCGUCUUAA